Molecule: long non-coding RNA, 608 nt
Organism: Fundulus heteroclitus (mummichog)
Lineage: Eukaryota; Metazoa; Chordata; Actinopteri; Cyprinodontiformes; Fundulidae
Exons: 3
Source: RefSeq, a predicted model, not a curated record
UUUAAAUUGAAAAAGUAGACCACUCUGGUUGCGCCCGACAGGGACAGGCAUCUGAUUGGCUGAGCAGCAAAUCUCGAAUCAUGUGCCCUCUUGGACCGGAGUGCAACAGUUUAUUUUUAUCGGUUCUAACACAGGGAUUCCCAAAUUAUUACAAUAUAUGGCUACAGUGAUUAGUCUAUACAAAUGCUUAAGUAUUUUAUUAUUUGGAAAAGCCUAAAUGUUAAAAGCAUUAAUAAAAUAUAUUUCUUUGCAGACUUCAAGAGAAUCAAACUGUGAAGAUCACGUUUUAUUCGUUUGAAAAAGGUUGCCAUGGUUGCAGAAAUUGGAGGAGCGUCCUUAGAUGACGCAAUACGACGAGCUAUGGGAUUCCUCAUGUCCCAUGAAUUGGCAUUGCAGUUCAACCUUUUUGGCCGACAUGGGAAACACAAGUUCCGGGACCUGCGUCUCUUUGAUGUUGUCCAUGGAGCACUUAAAAGAAAUGGAUCCAUCCACGGAAUCACCCACAAAGAUACCGAAAAGGCACUAUCAAAGUGGUUUACUGGAGCCCGUGACAGAGGUGGAAAUCGAAAGGUUCGAGCGACUAAGGAGGCUGCCAGUUCACAUUCAGG